AUGUUUUCACCAAAAAUGACACACAAGACAGACAAACGUUGAUUACCAGGACUAAUAGUUGAGUGAGAAUUGAUUGAAAUAGAAAAGUGAUAAGUGUAACAUCAUCUACAAGAUAGGUGCAUGGAAGUUGUCAAGCAAAAUGUGGCUUUCUAAUGUAAACACUAUACAAUAAGUGAUACACCUGUUCAAUUACAUUGACCAUUGGUAGCCUACAGAACUAGGAAGCAGUCUUUUCGAUUCAUUGUGUGGUAGCUACCAAGGAAUGCAUCAAUGUAGUAGAGGCGACAGGAGGCAGGAAUGCAGUAGAGGCCGCUAUCGAAGCCGGCGGAUUAUGAAGCUCACAUUUGCGGUGUUUUUGGAAUUUCGUCCGUCCGUCCGUGACACAACUGCAGUCACUCGCCACGGGAUUAUACCAAGAUCUGAGAGUUUCUGUCUACAUUUAUGAGAAGUUUCUGGAUGUCCUUUCAAGAAAAAGGACAAGGACUAUACGGUCAACAAGGUCCCUUGUUUACUAAAACCCGGCAAUCCUUCGCUACUGAUCAUGGACUCCAUUUGUGAAACUGAAAACUGACGAGAGAAUGCUGUAAUCCAAGACUGAUAAAUUGUGUAGUUAGAUUAAAUGACAAGUGCAUUUCUGGGCUCCCUUCUUUUCUGUAGCCACGUUUCCCUAACUAACCACUAACCAACGCCCGCCGGUGGUCACUC
Molecule: long non-coding RNA, 705 nt
Organism: Daphnia pulicaria
Lineage: Eukaryota; Metazoa; Arthropoda; Branchiopoda; Diplostraca; Daphniidae
Exons: 4
Source: RefSeq, a predicted model, not a curated record